GAUGAACGCUGGCGGCGUGCCUAAUACAUGCAAGUCGAGCGAACAGACGAGGAGCUUGCUCCUCUGACGUUAGCGGCGGACGGGUGAGUCACACGUGUAUAACCUACCUAUAAGACUGGGAUAAUUUCGGGAAACCGGAGCUAAUACCGGAUAAUAUAUUGCACCGCAUGGUUCAAUAGUGAAAGACGGUUUUGCUGUCACUUAUAGAUGGAUCUGCGCCGCAUUAGCUAGUUGGUAAGGUAACGGCUUACCAAGGCAACGAUGCGUAGCCGACCUGAGAGGGUGAUCGGCCACACUGGAACUGGGACACGGUCCAGACGCCUGCGGGAGGCAGCAGAAGGGAAUCUUACGCAAUGGGCGAGAGCUUGACGGAGCAACGCGGCGUGAGUGAUGAAGGUCUUCGGAUCGUAAAACUCUGUUAUUAGGGAAGAACAAAUGUGUAAGUAACUAUGCACGUCUUGACGGUACCUAAUCAGAAAGCAACGGCUAACUACGUG
RNAcentral lists this ribosomal RNA (497 nucleotides) under uncultured bacterium. RNAcentral's name for it is "partial 16S ribosomal RNA". It matches the Rfam family "Bacterial small subunit ribosomal RNA", at positions 28 to 507 of the family's 1533-position model. The record is from RNAcentral.